GGGUGAGUAAUGUCUGGGAAACUGCCCGAUGGAGGGGGAUAACUACUGGAAACGGUAGCUAAUACCGCAUAACGUCGCAAGACCAAAGAGGGGGACCUUCGGGCCUCUUGCCAUCGGAUGAACCCAGAUGGGAUUAGCUAGUAGGUGGGGUAAAGGCUCACCUAGGCGACGAUCCCUAGCUGGUCUGAGAGGAUGACCAGCCACACUGGAACUGAGACACGGUCCAGACUCCUACGGGAGGCAGCAGUGGGGAAUAUUGCACAAUGGGCGCAAGCCUGAUGCAGCCAUGCCGCGUGUAUGAAGAAGGCCUU
This 311-nucleotide ribosomal RNA is filed under the name Escherichia coli. RNAcentral's name for it is "bacterial SSU rRNA". It matches the Rfam family "Bacterial small subunit ribosomal RNA", at positions 104 to 418 of the family's 1533-position model. The record is from RNAcentral. Lineage: Bacteria; Pseudomonadati; Pseudomonadota; Gammaproteobacteria; Enterobacterales; Enterobacteriaceae.